This 253-nucleotide ribosomal RNA is filed under the name uncultured bacterium. Its description in RNAcentral is "partial 16S ribosomal RNA". It matches the Rfam family "Bacterial small subunit ribosomal RNA", at positions 524 to 776 of the family's 1533-position model. The record is from RNAcentral.
GACGAACCGUGCGAACGUUUUUCGGAAUCACUGGGCUUAAAGGGCGCGUAGGCGGGUUCCCAAGUCCGGGGUGAAAUCUUUCGGCUCAACCGGAAAAUAGCCUUGGAUACUGGGAGUCUCGAGGGAGGUAGGGGCAGCGGGAACUUCCGGUGGAGCGGUGAAAUGCGUUGAUAUCGGAAGGAACGCCGGUGGCGAAAGCGCGCUGCUGGACCUCUGCUGACGCUGAGGCGCGAAAGCCAGGGGAGCAAACGGG